Dermochelys coriacea (leatherback sea turtle) is the source of this 85-nucleotide long non-coding RNA. RefSeq lists it as uncharacterized. NCBI's taxonomy places the organism in Eukaryota, Metazoa, Chordata, Testudines, Dermochelyidae. The transcript has 3 exons. The record is from RefSeq and is a predicted model, not a curated record.
ACAGGAUUCCAGCUGUGGCUGGAAGAAAAAAAAGACUGGCAAGAAAUCUACCUUGAACCCAGGCUGUAACUUGUUAAGUCUGAGC